ACAUCCAGAGAACUUAGCAGAGAUUGCUUUGGUGCCUUCGGGAACUCUGAGACAGGUGCUGCAUGGCUGUCGUCAGCUCGUGUUGUGAAAUGUUGGGUUAAGUCCCGCAACGAGCGCAACCCUUUAUCCUUUGUUGCCAGCGAUUCGGUCGGGAACUCAAAGGGGACUGCCGGUGAUAAACCGGAGGAAGGUGGGGAUGACGUCAAGUCAUCAUGGCCCUUACGGCCAGGGCUACACACGUGCUACAAUGGCGCAUACAAAGAGAAGCGACCUCGCGAGAGCAAGCGGACCUCAUAAAGUGCGUCGUAGUCCGGAUUGGAGUCUGCAACUCGACUCCAUGAAGUCGGAAUCGCUAGUAAUCGUAGAUCAGAAUGCUACGGUGAAUACGUUCCCGGGCCUUGUACACACCGCCCGUCACACCAUGGGAGUGGGUUGCAAAAGAAGUAGGUAGCUUAACCUUCGGGAGGGCGCUUACCACUUUGUGAUUCAUGACUGGGGUGAAGUCGUAACAAGGUAAGCGUAGUGCU
Molecule: ribosomal RNA, 527 nt
Filed under: uncultured bacterium
Lineage: Bacteria
Description: bacterial SSU rRNA
Rfam family: Bacterial small subunit ribosomal RNA
Source: RNAcentral